RNAcentral lists this ribosomal RNA (1947 nucleotides) under metagenome. RNAcentral's name for it is "bacterial LSU rRNA". It matches the Rfam family "Bacterial large subunit ribosomal RNA", at positions 1 to 1977 of the family's 2925-position model. The record is from RNAcentral.
UUAAGCGACUAAGCGUACACGGUGGAUGCCCUGGCAGUCAGAGGCGAUGAAGGACGUGCUAAUCUGCGAAAAGCGCCGGCGAGGUGAUAUGAACCUUUGACCCGGCGAUGUCCGAAUGGGGAAACCCAGUGUGUUUCGACACACUAUCGUUAACUGAAUACAUAGGUUAACGAGGCGAACCGGGGGAACUGAAACAUCUAAGUACCCCGAGGAAAAGAAAUCAACCGAGAUUCCCCCAGUAGCGGCGAGCGAACGGGGAGCAGCCCAGAGUCUGAAUCAGCAUGUGUGUCAGUGGAAGCGUCUGGAAAGUCGCAGGGUACAGGGUGAUACUCCCGUACACGAAGAUACACUUGCUGUGAACUCGAAGAGUAGGGCGGGACACGUGGUAUCCUGUCUGAAUAUGGGGGGACCAUCCUCCAAGGCUAAAUACUCCUGACUGACCGAUAGUGAACCAGUACCGUGAGGGAAAGGCGAAAAGAACCCCGGCGAGGGGAGUGAAAAAGAACCUGAAACCGUGUACGUACAAGCAGUGGGAGCACCUUCGUGGUGUGACUGCGUACCUUUUGUAUAAUGGGUCAGCGACUUAUAUUCUGUAGCAAGGUUAACCGUAUAGGGGAGCCGAAGGGAAACCGAGUCUUAACUGGGCGUUAAGUUGCAGGGUAUAGACCCGAAACCCGGUGAUCUAGCCAUGGGCAGGUUGAAGGUUGGGUAACACUAACUGGAGGACCGAACCGACUAAUGUUGAAAAAUUAGCGGAUGACUUGUGGCUGGGGGUGAAAGGCCAAUCAAACCGGGAGAUAGCUGGUUCUCCCCGAAAGCUAUUUAGGUAGCGCCUCGUGAAUUCAUCUCCGGGGGUAGAGCACUGUUUCGGCUAGGGGGCCAUCCCGGCUUACCAACCCGAUGCAAACUGCGAAUACCGGAGAAUGUUAUCACGGGAGACACACGGCGGGUGCUAACGUCCGUCGUGAAGAGGGAAACAACCCAGACCGCCAGCUAAGGUCCCAAAGUCAUGGUUAAGUGGGAAACGAUGUGGGAAGGCACAGACAGCCAGGAUGUUGGCUUAGAAGCAGCCAUCAUUUAAAGAAAGCGUAAUAGCUCACUGGUCGAGUCGGCCUGCGCGGAAGAUGUAACGGGGCUAAACCAUGCACCGAAGCUGCGGCAGCGACACUAUGUGUUGUUGGGUAGGGGAGCGUUCUGUAAGCCUGCGAAGGUGUGCUGUGAGGCAUGCUGGAGGUAUCAGAAGUGCGAAUGCUGACAUAAGUAACGAUAAAGCGGGUGAAAAGCCCGCUCGCCGGAAGACCAAGGGUUCCUGUCCAACGUUAAUCGGGGCAGGGUGAGUCGACCCCUAAGGCGAGGCCGAAAGGCGUAGUCGAUGGGAAACAGGUUAAUAUUCCUGUACUUGGUGUUACUGCGAAGGGGGGACGGAGAAGGCUAUGUUAGCCGGGCGACGGUUGUCCCGGUUUAAGCAUGUAGGCUGAUUAUCCAGGCAAAUCCGGAUAAUCAAGGCUGAGGUGUGAUGACGAGUCACUACGGUGAUGAAGUAACAAAUGCCCUGCUUCCAGGAAAAGCCUCUAAGCAUCAGGUAACAUCAAAUCGUACCCCAAACCGACACAGGUGGUCAGGUAGAGAAUACCAAGGCGCUUGAGAGAACUCGGGUGAAGGAACUAGGCAAAAUGGUGCCGUAACUUCGGGAGAAGGCACGCUGAUAUGUAGGUGAAGCCCCUGCGGGUGGAGCUGAAAUCAGUCGAAGAUACCAGCUGGCUGCAACUGUUUAUUAAAAACACAGCACUGUGCAAACACGAAAGUGGACGUAUACGGUGUGACGCCUGCCCGGUGCCGGAAGGUUAAUUGAUGGGGUUAGCGGCAACGCGAAGCUCUUGAUCGAAGCCCCGGUAAACGGCGGCCGUAACUAUAACGGUCCUAAGGUAGCGAAAUUCCUUGUCGGGU